Long non-coding RNA from Myotis brandtii (Brandt's bat), 709 nucleotides. RefSeq lists it as uncharacterized. The transcript has 3 exons. NCBI's taxonomy places the organism in Eukaryota, Metazoa, Chordata, Mammalia, Chiroptera, Vespertilionidae. The record is from RefSeq and is a predicted model, not a curated record.
CAAAUAUUGAGAGUGCCCCGAGUUUCAGUAAUCAAGUCGUUCACCGAUGGAGGCCCUGGGGUGGUUGUUGGAGAAAAUGGAGAGAAAGCAGAAAUCUCAUUUGGAAAUCUCAUUUUUCCCCCCUGUUGUGAAAGCUGUGAUUGGGAGGUAAGAGGAUUUGAAGCAUAGUGUUUUUUUCUUUGGAAAUGUAGCUGUAGUGGAAGUGAGGAGGAUAAACUGCAGAGAGGUAGGCUGGCUGCUGGGAGAACAGAAGAUUCUGCAGUGACCUAGAAAUCAGAACUAAAAUUUGUUAAGAGAAUGUGUUAUCACUUAAAAGCAUGGUUUCACAUUUCUCAGCUGAUCUAUCAUCAAGAAUCAUAUUCACUAUACCCAUGUCUGCAGACAAUAAUUUUUUUCAGCAACUAUAUGUGCUCUGGCCCCGCCUUCUUUGUGGACUGUUUUCUGAAUUCUAAAGUGGCCCCCCUUAUCCCCUUUGUGUGGGAUGGAACCUGUAGAUGUGAGGAGCUGUCACUCCUGUGAUCAUGUUACAUUACUGGCACAGUGGAGACCAUCUGGGUGGGUGCAACCUAAGUACACAACCCCAUUAAAAGCAGAGAGUUUUCUCCAUCUGGAAGCAGAAGAGGAAGUCAGAGAGAUGCAGAGGGUGAGCAGUGGUUGAGCACCCACCUAUGAACCAGGAGGUCAUGGUUCGAUUUCUGGUCAAGGGCAC